UUUCUUUCUGAUAUAGUAUACUGCUUUCUCUUAAGUGAGCACGUGGUAAAGCCGUUAGAGAAAAUACUCUUUAAUGUCCGUCUCUAGGUGUGAUGUCCAAGGCGCUAGCGAAGGAGAGCCACGCAGCAGGCCAGCGAGAGGAUUGCAAGGGCGGCUCCAGAAGGAGGAGCUGGGGCCUGUUGGUCACUGCUGGUGUUGGUGGGACCUUGGUGGCACUGUAUGCUGUGGUCACCCCCUUCGUGACCCCGGCUCUGAGGAAAGUGUGCCUGCCCUUCGUUCCUGCAACUUCCACUCAGAUCCAGAAUGUGCUGAAAAUGUUAGAAAACAGAAGCGGCUCCCUAGUUGACAUUGGUAGCGGGGAUGGCCGUAUUGUCAUAGCAGCUGCAAAAAGGGGAUUCAAAGCUGUUGGUUAUGAAUUAAAUCCCUGGCUAGUCUGGUACUCCAGAUACCGUGCCUGGAGGGAUGGGGUGCAUCAGAACACCAAGUUUUAUAUUUCAGACUUAUGGAAGGUUUCUUUUUCCCGUUAUACGAAUGUUGUUGUUUUUGGGGUACCUCAAAUGAUGCCACAGUUGGAGAAGAAGCUGGAAGAAGAACUUCAAUGUAAUGCCAGAAUCAUUGCUUGUCGUUUUCCUUUCCCUUGCUGGAUCCCAGAUCAUACUGCUGGAGAGGGAAUAGACACUGUGUGGGCCUACGAUUUGAAACAUCGCAGAGGAUGUGAAACAAAAAGCUUGGAAAUUACACCAGAGACAGAAUCCUAAACAUCUAAUUUGCUUUUGUACUGAAAUUUUUGGCUUUGACUUCACCUGUUAGAGAUAAGAUUAAUGUGAAUAGAGCCCCAGGAUAUGGAGAUACAUAUUCAUUAAAAUAACUGAAGUACACUGGUUAUCUGAAAGCACACAAAGGUGUAGUGAAAUGGCUUAAUGUAGUUAGUAAAAAUUAUGAGAAAGUUUUACAGAAGCGGAAAACUUUAAUAUGGAAAAUGGGAUAAAACACGGUUCACUACUGUUAAGGGGAAUACAUGUAUAAGUUAAAAUGCUCAAAUUGGCGAACCUAAUAUGUGCAUUCUUUCUGAGCCUACAUAGCAUUUGUUAUUGGUGUUGGAGUGGUGUGCAAGUGGCUUCUCAAAUGAGCCGUGGUUCCCAAAUGUCUUCAUUAUGUAUGCCAAGUAGGCAUAAUGCUGCAUACAUCAAACUGAUGCAGAUUCAGUAUGAUGAUGAUACCGACGUUCUACACCUCAGCCUUGAAUGUGUACUUUUUAAAGUUGAAUAUGGCACAAGAAGCAAAUAUAACAAGUUGCUUAUUCAUUAACACAAGCGCAGCCCUUGAUUACAAUAAUGUAUUUUUAUUUAACUUGUUAUGUGAGGACCAAACUGCAGAAAUGUGCUCUUACUGAACACUUACUGGUAUAACCCUUUGCAAAUGACCAUGAUUUUUCCUAACCUCUCUGAUUUAGGAAGGGUUUCAAAAGUCACCUACCUGGCAGUGAAGUGUCACUGCUUCUGUGUGCUCAAACCUUGGAUAAGGUAUAGGUGAGAGUUGCUUGCUUGAAUAUGUCAUGAAGUCUGUCUCUGAUUUCAAAGUUAGUUGGUCUGGCUAGCUUGGUUAAAUCUGAUUAGACCUCAUUUAAUUUAUAGUAAGAUGGGAAGGGAGGUUUUCAGUCGGGUUUCUUUUCCCCUGUACUUUUCUAUGCCAUCUGAUGAGAUCUCAGAAACUCACAGCAUUGCUGCAUGGUUUUUCCUUGGAAGCGAAGCAAGUUUUCCCUGUCUUUUUGCUGAUACUGGUUUGCAGGGGGGUACUGUCACUGCUGUGACAUUUUCUGUUCCUAACACGGUUACAGCACUUUUCUAUUUUUUUAACAGUCUGCUUACUUGGUCUUUCCUUUGGUUCCCAGGUAAAGUUUUACUGUUUUGAUCCAUUAAUGAUUAGGCAAAGUUCAUAGUUAGCCUCCCCAGCCCCAGUUAACAUAUAGACUGUUUGUUAAGCAGUGACUACGUAAGUUUGUCAGGCCUUUGCAUAUAUGAUACCUAUAGUCCGAAGCCAAAACAGGCUAGGAAAUUGUCACCUGACUUCUAAGGCAGUCAUUAGUACAACUAAAAUUAACUCAGGCCAAGAGAAGUGCUGAGAACCUGCAAUUUCAGGUAAAUACAAAGCCUGUAACAUUUUAUUAGGCAUUGGGAAAGUGCGUUUGCUGGACUAUAGUAUCUGACUUGAAGAGAAGUUAGAUGUUAUUUGGGAUGUGUAGUCUACAGUUACACCUGUACCCAGGCUUUUUAUUUUUGGUGGGAGGAGAGAAGAAGAAUUUGAAAUAAAAAUCUACACUGAGGAUUUGAAAUGGAGCAGUGGAAUGGUUUUAUCCUGAUAAUGCAUACAAAGCAAGAGAAGAAAGGGGCAAAUGUAUCUGCUCUGGAGUCUGCAAAGGAGAGCUGAUUUCAGCCUCGCAUGGCAAGGCACAGCUGUAAACAUGGAGACUGUAUGUGUUGAAGAACACUGAUGUCUGGAACUGCUUAAACAUAAUAUUUACAUUUUCAAAACACCUGAUCAUCUGCCACUGAAGCCUGUCUAAAAAGCCAACGGACCCUGUGAAACUUCUUAAUGCUGUAAUGUCUGCAGCUGUCUGUGCCAGAACUCUGGUUCAGAUGAGUAGAAAUGUGCCCAGCUCUUGCAUAAGCUCUCUUGAUUCUUGAUUUCUUGAAUGAAAAUGGAAGUGUGAGGAGAGGACACAAAAUGAAUGAUAAAAACUUGAGAAUCAGUGUAAGUUCUGGGAGAGAAAAAUGUGAGUGGUGGGGAAUAUAGCCAAAAUCUAAGGGGCCUUCUCUGUCACUCUCACUGUGGCCCCUAAGGUUUGAUUCUGGUUUUUUGUUUGUUUUUUUUUUUCCCCUAAGACUAUGUAGCUGCUCUUGAAAGUGUGUUUGUUUUUCUGUCUUUCCUAUUGUUUCUUCAAGCUCUUCGGAGUGUACAUAAAUCAAAAUAAUUUAUAUGUCCAAAUGUACCAUUCCUUAAAUUGUCUAUAGGGACCCUCAUCUGUGUUCAUGUAUAGUUUAUUGCUUCCUUUUUUUUUUUUUUUCAGCACACAUAGAAGCUAAACUUACACUCUGACUACCUUUAUGCUCAAUGCAUAAAUAAGCUUCAUGGGUGUGAUCAAUACCAAUUAAGUUUAUUUGCAAACACAGAUCUUGCACUGAAGCAAUUUUAAAAAGAUUUUGAGCAGGAAUGGGACAAGUAAUGGUCAUGAUGUGAAAAUACUAACGUUACUUAAGGAUGGUAGAGUCUCCUGCCAUUGAGGUACUUUUAAUUUUGGUUGUCAGUCUGAUGUGUCAAGCAAAGCCAGGAAUGAUAGACUAGUAGCAAAGCAGAACUGUUGGGUGGUAUUUUGAAAGAAAUUUAUUUUCUAACACUAUCAUCAGAGGCUUCCUUCUGGUUUCAUCUAAAUUGUUAAGUACUGUUAUUGUUCUGGUAAAGAGUAUGUUGGUGGGAGAGUAUGAUUGCCUGAGCUAAUACAACUAGUGAGCAUCUUGAAGUGUUUAUUCUAUAGUACUUCCAGAUAAUUUCUUUAUCCUUUCCUCUUCCCCCGCCCCCCCUUUAGAGUGACAACAUUACAGACUUAAAAUGGGAACUACAUUUAUCACCCUUAGAAAUUAAAGAUUAGGAAACAGCUUCUAAUAUGAAAAAAGUUGCCGGCUUCAGCAACUGGAUCUUAUUUACCAGAGCAUGUUAAGUAUAAUGUAGGUCAGAUCCAUACUGACUUAACAGGACAGUUUAAGUUUUGUAAGAAAAAGUUAGCACUUCUUGUGAGUCUCCUGAACGUGCAAUCUGAAUUCAGUUGUUUGCUGCUUCUAAUAAAAAUGCUGAUCAAACAGCACUUAGGAUUAUUUCUCUGCUGCAUAAAAUUAGGCAUUCUAAGCACUUUCCAGGAAACAGGAAACCUGGACACUGGAUCUUCCAUGAGGCUUUGUGGUUUUUUCGUGUUUUUCUGUACUUUGGGUGAUUGUGAAAAUCAGAUGAUUGGAGUGGGGACUUUUGCCUGCUUGGGUGAUACUUACAUGUGUAAGGACAAAUUACAGGUUGCAACAUACCUUUAAUCCCUUCCAGGGUAACUAAUCAAAAGUGAUCCUUUCUCUGGUAUUGUUUUAAUCUGACUCUGGUAUAAUUUUCAUUUCCACAGGUGUAAAACUAGAUGUUGCUUAUGAUUAAUUUAUCUUUCUAUUCUGUUGUAUGCCUGAAGAAUCUAUGUUGGCAAUACAAGUCUCUUUUCAUUUCCGUGCAAAAUACACAGUGGAUGUUUUAUUGGCCUUGAAUGCCUUUAUUACUGUGGUGAGACAGUGUUCCCUCCUGGUGUUGGAUAUGCAGGUCAUUCACUGUCUGAGCUUGUAAGUACCAGGGUUGUGAAUGGUGCAGCUUUCUUGUUAGGGUGUUCCAAGCAGCACUGAACCCAAGGAUACUGGAGCUGAAGCUCCACAGCAGAUAACCAAAAGUAUUGAGCUUCACUUUGCAUUUAUGGUUGUUAGUAACCUCCUCCUCCCUGAUCACUACCCUACGCACAAAAUAAACAGCCCCCCUGCCCCCCAAACCUCAUCCAUCAGAAUGUGUUCUUUGGUUUUCAGCUGCUGGUGCAAAUGACUACAUUACUUUCCAGCUUUGUCUAGGCCAUGGGCCUGGUGAGGCCUUCCCAGCUUCUAAUUCAGUGUAAGCAGGCUCAAUUUUAGCUUCAGCUGUCUCAGUCAGGAGUCUGCCUAAGAAAUCCUCAUAGUCUCUGAAGGCACUGAGACAAGCGGGUUCUGGGUGCUGAAGACUUCCUGAAGCUUGCCAUCUUAGCAUGAUGGGACACAGCAUCAACGUUUUUGGCAGGCUUUUAUAAAGACUGCUUUCGUGCUGCUGAAUUUGAUCUCUAUCCCAAUUUAGGAGCUCUGCAAAGCAGAGGAUAAAUUAACUCCAAUUUUCUGUCUGCCUAAUAGUAGUAGAACAUUGUUCUUUAGUUUUACACUGCUGCUUGUUUCUGGUACAGCCUAAUCAUAAACUUUCCUUCACUGGAGGGAAAGACCUAACACCAGAGUCCUUCCUUUCCAGCACAAACCUAAGAGCAAGGCUCUUUAACUGAGGAGCUUCCCAUUUGGAAAGUCUCUCAGCAGCACCAAGAUCCUGUACCAGUAGAGAUGGGAAGGCUUUCUCUCAAAUUCCUGUUGCUAAUACAGAAGCUAUUUGUCAGGACCACUACUAGGAACAUCUUGGUUUUCCACCAAGACUUGGUAUAAUUACCUAUGGCUUAAGGUUAAUUCAAGGGGUUGAUACUGGGUCUGUUACGGAGGCUUGGAGUAGUAGGACUCUCAGUCUGUUUGCCUUUUUGGGGAAUGUCAAAAAUCAAGUUUUGCUCUUUACAGUAGCAUAAUUUCUUUUAUAUGUCAGUAAAAAAUAUCACAGUAUAUUGAUACAAUGAAAAUACAAGAAUAAUCUUCUGGUACUAAUCUGGUGAUAGGCUAAGCUGAAUGUUACUGAAUGGAGAUUUCUAGGUUGGAGAAAGAGACCCAAGUCUGUUCCCAAGUAAGCAUGUGUUUUUCCUAUUAACUUUGAGGGAAUUUCUUUGUGUGUGUUGUAAAAAAAAAAAAACCUGGAUGUAGAAGAUGGCAGUUGGAAUGCUAGUUAUUAGUUUGCAUUCAGCCCUGCAGUAAAUUGCAAUGUUUACACAGCAGUAUUCAUUUUCAAACUGCUACUGAAUAGUAAAUCUAGCAACACUUUUGUAGGAUUGGUCGGUAUUAUCUUCACCGUUUACAACUGCAAAAACUGUAGCAGAGCUAAUUUGUUCAAGAUGAUCGAAGUAAUCGGUGGCAAUGCUGUGAUUAAAAUGAUUAAGUCUGCAACUGCAUGUCUGUGUCUACAGCUGGAAGACUGUGUUUUUUAAACGGCUGCUCCUGAGGGUGGCAGUACCUUUGCACUUUCACAACUGAUGGAGCCAGAGAUAUAAAGGUCAGAUGCUCACAUAUGCCAUUUAGUGCCACCUUACCACUUAUGACUAAGACAUAGCACCUACAGUGGUUGUGCCUGGCAGGUUCACGAUCUUGGUUCUGUUUUUUUCAGUCUUACCUCUUUAUUAGCUGUUACUACAUUUGAUGUCUCAUGGUUACCGCUUUUAACUGCAUUUGGAUCCCUCUGUCACUGUUCAUACAUGCUACUUUGUAGUAAAACUUAUUUAUUGAAAUAUAUGACUUUGCGAUGUGUACUUUCAUGUACUAUAUCUUGGUCUACUUUUGUGUGAGAGUCUGCUGCUUCUCUGUUUUGAUGAUUUCCAUUUUUUUAUGACAAAAGUUCAAAUCUUUGAACAACUUUAAUCUGUUGUUAAUGGGAGUAUUAAAUACAAAUUGGCUGUAAUCCAGCGUAGGUAUUAGGAUUUUCGUAUCUUAUUGUUUUACUUGCCUUAUAAUUUGUUUUUAACUUUGUGCAUGAUCUGUGUCUUAAUUCCCCGAGGAUACUUCACUAAACAUAAAUGAAACUUGAUUUUUAUGCAGUCAUCAGGUUGAUCUGUCAUGGCCUAUGUUAGUAAGCCUACAUAUUCUCAUUUCUCACUUUUAUUUCUAGAUUUGUGCAUGGUUACAAAUGAGAUGAAUUGAGAGAACAACCAUUUUCCUUACGCCUUAGUAACUUUAUUAAAAAGUCAUGUAAAAUUAAUUGAAUAAGUUUUCUGUUGGUGUGACUCGUCAACAGCUCUUGCUGUUAUAACUUUGUCCUGACUAGCUCAAACUCAUUUUACUCUGACAUAACCAUCAGUUUUAAGUACAGUUACUGUCUUCAUCUUCUGGUUUAGAAGCUGUUUGAUAGUGAUCAGCUUAACCAGCUCAAAACUAGCACUGGUGCAUGUUACAUUCAUCUGCUUGGAAAACAGGCUGCUGAAAUCGUGUGUGGAAUCUUACUAGAUUAGUUGCUUUGACUAAUUUUUCUAAAAUAAGAGGCAAGAACUUGACAUCAUCUCUAAAUACGAAGAAACCCAAGACAAAAUACUUUUUCUACCAUAUGCAGGAAAAUGCAUAUUGAGCAAUGUAUGAACAAAUACACUACCUCCACCAUGGCAAUCAAAUUGCUUAUCUACCAGUUAAGUAAAUAUAGUCAAAGUUUGUUAGUCCAGAACAACGCAGUAAACAGCAUUGCUAGUUUCUGCCUCAUAUCACUGAAUCAUGAACAGUGAUUGCAAAAUCAGACCAGUCUUGCCAAAUAAAAAAGAAAUUCAGAAUGGGUAUACAGAAAAGGCUGCUUGAGACCUGUUUCUGUGUAGAAAACUUAAUUAUUUGUUUGUCUUUUUCCCCUUAGUUGAAAGAUCAGCAACAGCCCUUCCCCAGCCCCAAGACUGACUUUCCUCUGCAUCGCCUUAUGCAGAAUACUACUUUGC
Molecule: RNA transcript, 7372 nt
Organism: Harpia harpyja (harpy eagle)
Lineage: Eukaryota; Metazoa; Chordata; Aves; Accipitriformes; Accipitridae
Gene: ATPSCKMT
Gene name: ATP synthase c subunit lysine N-methyltransferase
Exons: 5
Source: RefSeq, a predicted model, not a curated record